AGCCCAGAUGCUGGGCGUGUAUCAGCGGGAGUCACGUCUAGCCGGUCAACAAGUUCAUCCACGAAGUGUUCACGAAGAUGAACGAAUGGUGAGGAUAAAGUGUCCAUUGAUGUUGGUUGUCAGGGAGGAUGAUCAGAACUAGGCCACAGUGGAGUCUGUCAAGGACAUAGCCCAGAUGAUGCGUGCAGCGGGUAACAAGCACCUACUGACCAUUCUACAAUACCCUGAUGCUGGACACCUCAUUAAGCUGCCCUACACACCCCACUUCAGAGCCACUUCAGAUCCAGCAACUUCAUAGUGCCUCAAACACGACAGAAAGGCACUGUACACACACAAAGCUCACACCUACAGUAUACACACCGUAUACACACCGGAACCAAGAUAUGUAUAACCAAUUCUUAGACAUGUUGCAGUGAUCAUGUUGUGUGGGAAGGGUACCCAAAGCAGCACAUCAAUGCUCAAGAAGACUCCUGGGAAAAGAGCCUUUCUAAGGCAACACCUGUAACCCAGACAUGACUCUGUCCCUAAGGUCAAGCUGUGAUGUCACACCCGAGAAGCCUCCAGGACCUAGUAUGAACGAGUCUCUCAUUCACUGUACUGUCUGAGUUUCAACCUUCCCAUAGUGUUAACACCUGUGACUAUAACCUAACUGCCAUAGUACACAGUUGACCGAUAUUAUUUUUUUUGAUU
Molecule: long non-coding RNA, 690 nt
Organism: Oncorhynchus gorbuscha (pink salmon)
Lineage: Eukaryota; Metazoa; Chordata; Actinopteri; Salmoniformes; Salmonidae
Exons: 3
Source: RefSeq, a predicted model, not a curated record